This 253-nucleotide ribosomal RNA is filed under the name uncultured bacterium. Its description in RNAcentral is "partial 16S ribosomal RNA". It matches the Rfam family "Bacterial small subunit ribosomal RNA", at positions 524 to 776 of the family's 1533-position model. The record is from RNAcentral.
UACAGAGGGGGCAAGCGUUAUUCGGAAUUAUUGGGCGUAAAGGGCGCGUAGGCGGCAUUGCAAGUGGAAGGUGAAAUCCCUCGGCUUAACCUGGGAACUGCGUCUGAUACUGGACGGCUUGAGUAUGGGAGAGGGAUGUAGAAUUCCAGGUGUAGCGGUGAAAUGCGUAGAUAUCUGGAGGAAUACCGGUGGCGAAGGCGGCUACCUGGACAAUUGCUGACACUCAGGCACGAAAGCGUGGGGAGCAAAAGGG